Passer domesticus (house sparrow) is the source of this 1146-nucleotide long non-coding RNA. RefSeq lists it as uncharacterized. Lineage: Eukaryota; Metazoa; Chordata; Aves; Passeriformes; Passeridae. The record is from RefSeq and is a predicted model, not a curated record. The transcript has 5 exons.
UAAAAGAGUAGGUUGGCUGGUGGAGAAGUGAGAUGGAGCCUGUUGGCUGUGCUGUGAGGAAGAAGGAGUCAGUGCUGCGAGGAGCUGCCCGUGAGAAAUCACCGAGAAGAUUAACUGCUGUGAAUGUUCCAAACUGCAUAUCCAUGUCCUGCUCCAUGUGAGAAGCAGAGAAAUGCCACACAUUUUCAGUUCUCAUCUGAGAGGGGUCCCCGCACACUGGCUCUGGGAAGUAAAGUGCCUUUGGUUAGAGGAACUUGGGUCUGGACUCAAAUGGACACUUUACAGAACAGUGGGGUCCAAAGAGAGUUAGCACUUCAGAGUCAUGUCUUCUCACAGCUGCUAUGCCUCAUGUGAUAACUAGUGUGGGAGAUGGGGAAGGAAGCAAAUAACAAGCGAGGCAGCAAGGUUGUGAAGGAAGUAAUUUUGCCCUUCCUCUUUGCUGCUGCUGUUUUAAGUAUUCUUCCAGGAAAGAAAGGUCCAACAGAGAAGGUAUGUUCUCAAGGCUGGCAGGCCUUGGCUGAAAGGCCUCAUCUGCAAACCUGAAUGACAGCACCUGUAGCUCGUGCAUGUCCAGAGGGUGGUGAUGCUGAGAGAGGGACAACUUUCUGACUUAGCAGAGUACCACAGGCUUGCCGAUAGUGACGGUGAGGGCGAUGGCUGCAGCAGAUGUUGACUGGACAGCAACCAGGAAGGGUGGUGAACAGAGGAGGUUCUGCAAACUCCUGUUUUGAGGGAAGAAACAAAGCAGUAGCUGCCUCUGUGAGCAAGUUUUCAUACUCAGAAUGAUAUUUGGUACAUUAUAUUCAACUGCUUUGGAAAAAAAAAGGAGCAAAAUUAUGGUUAAGAUAGAGUUUGCAGAAGCCAAGUUUUAAAGAGCCUUUAGGUCACCUGAUGAUGUAUUCAGCUAGGAGAUUUAAGAUUCCAAUCUGUCAGGUGUCCCAGCCAGCUUUCUUCACCUUUCUUUGUGCAUUUUUGCCCCUGUUAUUUUAAUAUUGGCAUGACAGAGUUUUAGGGUGUUUGUCCAGGAGCUAAGACAGACAAAGAGUUAUUAUCUGCCAUCGGAGGGGGAACAAAAUACAUGUCAGUGCUGAAUUGGAGUAAACGAUCCUCGUGGAUCCCUUUUAACUCAGGGUAUUCUGUGAUACA